Molecule: ribosomal RNA, 421 nt
Filed under: uncultured bacterium
Lineage: Bacteria
Description: bacterial SSU rRNA
Rfam family: Bacterial small subunit ribosomal RNA
Source: RNAcentral
UAAGGAAUAUUGGCCAAUGGACGCAAGUCUGAACCAGCCAUGCCGCGUGAAGGAUGAAGGUCCUCUGGAUUGUAAACUUCUUUUAUCUGGGACGAAAACGGGAUUUUUAUCUCAAUUGACGGUACCAGAGGAAUAAGCACCGGCUAACUCCGUGCCAGCAGCCGCGGUAAUACGGAGGGUGCGAGCGUUAUCCGGAUUUACUGGGCUUAAAGGGUGCGUAGGUGGGCUUAUAAGUCAGUGGUGAAAUCUCCGAGCUUAACUUGGAAACUGCCGUUGAUACUAUAGGUCUUGAAUUAUCUGGAGGUAAGCGGAAUAUGUCAUGUAGCGGUGAAAUGCUUAGAUAUGACAUAGAACACCAAUUGCGAAGGCAGCUUACUACAUAUAAAUUGACGCUGAGGCACGAAAGCGUGGGGAUCAAACA